This 745-nucleotide long non-coding RNA is filed under the name Homo sapiens (human). RNAcentral's name for it is "non-protein coding lnc-BRD3-2:1". Lineage: Eukaryota; Metazoa; Chordata; Mammalia; Primates; Hominidae. The record is from RNAcentral.
CCAAAGAGAGAGGGCGCAGACAAGGCCUGUUUAUUUCACUCGUGUGCGCCCUCAGGAGAGGCCCAGGGAUGUUGGCACAGGUGCAUUGUGGGCCCCGAAAUAAUCAAAUUGCAGAAGGAGAGAGAGGGGGAGAGAGCGGGAAGGGUAAUUGAAUAUCGGAGCGGAAGCUAUUCUCAAGUCACCCAUUUCAUGGUUCUUUCUCCUGUUUAUGUUUUCUAAGAGAUCUCCAAAAUAAAAUAGUUCUAUUAUUUUAUGACUCAUAGAUAUACGUUAUAGUGAUAACAUAUUACAGCUACGGCAACGAUGCUUAUGGAAUGGCCGCUCCGUGCCGCGCCGUAGAACUCUGCAAGGUGAAUCUCUCUCUCUCUCUCGCCUCACAGCUCGGGAAGCCUCGGCUCUGAGAGGCCAGACUCCAGCCACGCCAUCCAGACCACGGGGCCACGGGGCCACGGGGCCAGCUGAGCCCGCAGUCACUCUCCUCCUCUGCUCCUCCGCCUCUAAAAGGUCCUUUUCAGACGCUCAGGCACUCGCAGGCGCCCCUCUUUCAUCAUGGUUAGGCGCCACAUGCUUUUCAUCUCCAAGUCUGGCUACUGCAGAUGCAGAAUGAAAAACGAGCCAAUAACACAGCAAACCCGGGCAACUCGGCACGAAAGGCAAUAACCGUGGUGAGGGGCCAGGCGGCGAUUCCAGCCAGACAGAUGAGCGGGCGUCACGGGCUCCAGAUGCACAGAAGACCGGGUUUCCA